CCUACGGGAGGCAGCAGUGGGGAAUAUUGCACAAUGGGGGAAACCCUGAUGCAGCGACGCCGCGUGAGUGAAGAAGUAUUUCGGUAUGUAAAGCUCUAUCAGCAGGGAAGAAAAUGACGGUACCUGAUUAAGAAGCCCCGGCUAACUACGUGCCAGCAGCCGCGGUCAUACGUAGGGGGCAAGCGUUAUCAGGAUUUACUGGGUGUAAAGGGAGCGUAGACGGCAGCACAAGUCUGGAGUGAAAUGCCGGGGCUUAACCCUGGAACUGCUUUGGAAACUGUGCAGCUAGAGUGCAGGAGAGGUAAGUGGAAGUCGUAGUGUAGCGGUGAAAUGCGUAGAUAUCAGGAGGAACACCAGUGGCGAAGGCGGCUUACUGGACUGUAACUGACGUUGAGGCUCGAAAGCGUGGGGAGCAAACAGGAUUAGAUACCCGAGUAGUC
RNAcentral lists this ribosomal RNA (440 nucleotides) under uncultured bacterium. Its description in RNAcentral is "partial 16S ribosomal RNA". It matches the Rfam family "Bacterial small subunit ribosomal RNA", at positions 338 to 795 of the family's 1533-position model. The record is from RNAcentral.